This is a long non-coding RNA of Carassius gibelio (silver crucian carp), 347 nucleotides long. RefSeq lists it as uncharacterized. The record is from RefSeq and is a predicted model, not a curated record. Lineage: Eukaryota; Metazoa; Chordata; Actinopteri; Cypriniformes; Cyprinidae. The transcript has 2 exons.
GCAAGCGGCUGCUGCGUGCAUAAUUUGGCAGAAUGUUAGCAAAGAGCGCUGCAUUUAUAACCUCUAAAAGACAUCUCAGUUCAUUGCAAUCUCACAAAACUCUCUUAUAACACAAUCAACAUAUGCAUAAUUAGGUCUCUAAUCCAAUGGCACUUGACUUGACAGUGUGUGUGCUACUGUACAUCCUUUUUACAAUCCCUAGAUUGUAAAACACUGCAUUCUGUCAGCAAUGUCUACAAUGUUACUAAAAAGUAAUCAAAUUACAAUAACGUGCUACUAAGUAAUGUGUUACUCCCAAACACUGCUCAUGUUAAAAUGCAAUAAAUAUGCAACAAUAUGCUGAAAGC